AGAGUUUGAUCCUGGCUCAGGACGAACGCUGGCGGUGUGCUUCACACAUGCAAGUCGAACGAGGUAGCAAUACCUAGUGGCGGACGGGUGAGUAACGCGUGGGAAUCUGCCUUUAGAUGGGGGAUAACGGGUCGAAAGACUCGCUAAUACCGCAUAUGACGAAAGUUGAAAGGAGUAAUCCGUCUAAAGAUGAGCCCGCGUCCGAUUAGCUAGUUGGUAGAGUAAAAGCCUACCAAGGCGACGAUCGGUAGCUGGUCUGAGAGGAUGAUCAGCCACAAUGGGACUGAGACACGGCCCAUACUCCUACGGGAGGCAGCAGUGGGGAAUUUUACGCAAUGGGCGAAAGCCUGACGUAGCGACACCGCGUGAGCGAAGAAGCCCCUUGGGGUGUAAAGCUCUGUCAGCUGGAACGAAAAAAAUGACGGUACCAGCAGAGGAAGCAUCGGCUAACUACGUGCCAGCAGCCGCGGUAAGACGUAGGAUGCAAGCGUUGUCCGGAUUUAUUGGGCGUAAAGAGUUCGUAGGUGGUUUGUUAAGUUUGGUGUUAAAGAUUGGGGCUCAACCCUGAAACUGCACUGAAUACUGGCAGACUCGAGUGUGGUAGAGGCUAGUGGAAUUCCCAGUGUAGCGGUGAAAUGCGUAGAUAUUGGGAAGAACACCGGUGGCGUAGGCGACUAGCUGGGCCAUAACUGACACCGAGGAACGAAAGCCAAGGGAGCGAAUGGGAUUAGAUACCCCAGUAGUCCUGGCCGUAAACGAUGGAUACUAGGCGUAUCGGGUAUCGACCCCUGAUGUGCCGCAGCUAACGCGAUAAGUAUCCCGCCUGAGUAGUACGGCCGCAAGGUUGAAACUCAAAGGAAUUGACGG
RNAcentral lists this ribosomal RNA (867 nucleotides) under uncultured bacterium. RNAcentral's name for it is "bacterial SSU rRNA". It matches the Rfam family "Bacterial small subunit ribosomal RNA", at positions 8 to 916 of the family's 1533-position model. The record is from RNAcentral.